This 400-nucleotide long non-coding RNA is filed under the name Hordeum vulgare. RNAcentral's name for it is "long non-coding RNA (HVUL_LNC014375)". Lineage: Eukaryota; Viridiplantae; Streptophyta; Magnoliopsida; Poales; Poaceae. The record is from RNAcentral.
AUGUUCCCGAGCUGCCACGGCACCCACGAGUUGCAUCUGCGUCCCCACGACUCAGCCUGGACGUACCCCUCCUCUCCAUCCCUAACCCUAACCUGGUUCAGUCUAGUGUCGCUGCUGCUGGUGGCUGGUGAUGGUGGAUGUAGUCAUGUAAAAAUCUGUUUGUGUAGAAUCCGGUGGUGGUGCCUGAAUGUGUUUGUGUAGAAUCUGCUUGUGGUGGUGGUGUAUAGUUGGAUGCCCAUUGCUCUCUUUUUUCUGAAGAAAACCCUGCUGAUGUAAUUGGUUCAGUGGUCAAAUACGCUGUCGCUUUCUCUUUUUUCUGAAGAAAACAGUGCUGCUGUAAUUGGUUAAGUGGCCAAAUAUGCUGCCGCUGUCUCUUCUUUCUGAAUAAAAUGUUGCAUUU